Molecule: long non-coding RNA, 616 nt
Organism: Triplophysa rosa
Lineage: Eukaryota; Metazoa; Chordata; Actinopteri; Cypriniformes; Nemacheilidae
Exons: 3
Source: RefSeq, a predicted model, not a curated record
CAGACUCUCUCUACCUCUGGAGGUGGAAUAUCAGGAUACAAACACAUACAGAUGUGUCAUCAACAAUCACAUCACGAACCACACACAACAUCUCAACAUCAAUCAACUCUGCCGGACACAUUCAGAAUCUAAACCGGCUUGCAUAGUUUUAGCAUUAAUACUGUUUGUUCUGGUUCUCAUAUGUGGGAUAUGUUUCUACUGGAAAACAAGGCGAAGUAGGGCCCCUGUUGAGCAAGACAAUAGCGACUGCACCAAGGAACAAAAAAAUUCCAUAAUUUGUUAACAAAGAAGAAAACAGUCUGUUAUUGAUGCUGAUGAAGAUUUCUUGGAUGAUAUGGAAAUUUGAAGAAUGCAUAUUUUAUUUAAAUAGAAUUUGUAACAUAUGUCUGUAUGCUUUAAUGCAUCCUGAAAAAAUUAAAGUGUCUGUUUUUUUCCAAACUGCUCAUAAUGAGAUUUGACAGGUUUGAAUGUUAGUAGGCUAUCAUUUAUACCACAAAUGACCAGCGCUAUAAUAGAGAGAGAUUAGUGCAUUCAGUUCUUGUGACUAAAAUGUGAAAUUCCAGUAAAGGUGGAUUCGUAUAGGUAAAUUUUUGUAUUCAGGUCCUUUUUUGCUGAA